This is a long non-coding RNA of Labeo rohita (rohu), 232 nucleotides long. RefSeq lists it as uncharacterized. The transcript is spliced from 4 exons. The record is from RefSeq and is a predicted model, not a curated record. Lineage: Eukaryota; Metazoa; Chordata; Actinopteri; Cypriniformes; Cyprinidae.
UUUAGAAUACCAGUUGAUGACUGCUGUGCAGUGGAAAUAUCGAUCAUCUUGCUCGAUAAAACCUCAGUAUAUCAUCAGGAGCAACAGGCCACAUUUUCAGCUAAAAAUCUUCUUUGCUGUUCUGCUGAAGAAAAAUACUCAUCAACAUCUUGGGUGGCUUAAGGAUCUUUGCAGGAUUCAGUCGCAUAUCUCGGAUCUAAGUUCUGCGCAACAUUGGACACAGACUCUGCAU